This 465-nucleotide ribosomal RNA is filed under the name uncultured bacterium. RNAcentral's name for it is "partial 16S ribosomal RNA". It matches the Rfam family "Bacterial small subunit ribosomal RNA", at positions 338 to 795 of the family's 1533-position model. The record is from RNAcentral.
CCUACGGGCGGCAGCAGUAGGGAAUCUUCCACAAUGGGCGCAAGCCUGAUGGAGCAACACCGCGUGAGUGAAGAAGGGUUUCGGCUCGUAAAGCUCUGUUGUUGGAGAAGAACGUGCGUGAGAGUAACUGUUCACGCAGUGACGGUAUCCAACCAGAAAGUCACGGCUAACUACGUGCCAGCAGCCGCGGUAAUACGUAGGUGGCCAGCGUUAUCCGGAUUUAUUGGGCGUAAAGCGAGCGCAGGCGGUUGCUUAGGUCUGAUGUGAAAGCCUUCGGCUUAACCGAAGAAGUGCAUCGGAAACCGGGCAACUUGAGUGCAGAUGAGGACAGUGGAACUCCAGGUGUAGCGGUGGAAUGCGUAGAUAUAUGGAAGAACACCAGUGGCGAAGGCGACUGUCUGGUCUGCAACUGACGCUGAGGCUCGAAAGCAUGGGUAGCGAACAGGAUUAGAUACCCCGGUAGUC